AUGGGUNGUAAACUUCUUUUAUAAAGGAGUAAAGUCGGGUAUGGAUACCCGUUUGCAUGUACUUUAUGAAUAAGGAUCGGCUAACUCCGUGCCAGCAGCCGCGGUAAUACGGAGGAUCCGAGCGUUAUCCGGAUUUAUUGGGUUUAAAGGGAGCGUAGAUGGAUGUUUAAGUCAGUUGUGAAAGUUUGCGGCUCAACCGUAAAAUUGCAGUUGAUACUGGAUAUCUUGAGUGCAGUUGAGGCAGGCGGAAUUCGUGGUGUAGCGGUGAAAUGCUUAGAUAUCACGAAGAACUCCGAUUGCGAAGGCAGCCUGCUAAGCUGCAACUGACAUUGAGGCUCGAAAGUGUGGGUAUCAAACAGGAUUAGAUACCCUGGUAGUCCACACGGUAAACGAUGAAUACUCGCUGUUCGCGAUAUACAGCAAGCGGCCAAGCGAAAGCGUUAAGUAUUCCACCUGGGGAGUACGCCGGCAACGGUGAAACUCAAAGGAAUUGACGGGGGCCCGCACAAGCGGAGGAACAUGUGGUUUAAUUCGAUGAUACGCGAGGAACCUUACCCGGGCUUAAAUUGCAGAUGAAUUACGGUGAAAGCCGUAAGCCGCAAGGCAUCUGUGAAGGUGCUGCAUGGUUGUCGUCAGCUCGUGCCGUGAGGUGUCGGCUUAAGUGCCAUAACGAGCGCAACCCUUGUUGUCAGUUACUAACAGGUUCUGCUGAGGACUCUGACAAGACUGCCAUCGUAAGAUGUGAGGAAGGUGGA
Molecule: ribosomal RNA, 755 nt
Filed under: uncultured Bacteroides sp.
Lineage: Bacteria; Pseudomonadati; Bacteroidota; Bacteroidia; Bacteroidales; Bacteroidaceae
Description: bacterial SSU rRNA
Rfam family: Bacterial small subunit ribosomal RNA
Source: RNAcentral